GACGAACGCUGGCGGCGUGCUUAACACAUGCAAGUCGUACGGUAAGGCCCUUUCGGGGGUACACGAGUGGCGAACGGGUGAGUAACACGUGAGUAACCUGCCCACAACUUUGGGAUAACGCUAGGAAACUGGUGCUAAUACCGGAUAUGUGCUCCUGCUGCAUGGUGGGGGUUGGAAAGCUCCGGCGGUUGUGGAUGGACUCGCGGCCUAUCAGCUUGUUGGUGGGGUAGUGGCCUACCAAGGCGGCGACGGGUAGCCGGCCUGAGAGGGUGACCGGCCACAUUGGGACUGAGAUACGGCCCAGACUCCUACGGGAGGCAGCAGUGGGGAAUAUUGCACAAUGGGCGCAAGCCUGAUGCAGCAACGCCGCGUGCGGGAUGACGGCCUUCGGGUUGUAAACCGCUUUCAGCAGGGACGAAGCUUUUUGUGACGGUACCUGCAGAAGAAGCACCGGCUAACUACGUG
Molecule: ribosomal RNA, 465 nt
Filed under: uncultured bacterium
Lineage: Bacteria
Description: partial 16S ribosomal RNA
Rfam family: Bacterial small subunit ribosomal RNA
Source: RNAcentral